Molecule: non-coding RNA, 360 nt
Organism: Leptonychotes weddellii (Weddell seal)
Lineage: Eukaryota; Metazoa; Chordata; Mammalia; Carnivora; Phocidae
Source: RefSeq, a predicted model, not a curated record
CCGGGGAAGUCACAUUGCAGGGUCUUCUGGCUGAAGAGGCGUCGGGAAUGGUUGAGAAACAUCAGUUACGAGAUUUAAAUCUUGCAAUCUCUGCUGGGAAGUGAGCUGUAUCAUCUUGAGAAAUCAGACCACAGAGCUGGGCCUGCCGCUGGCAGGCUGGGUCAUCUUUAAUCACUUAACCCUUCAUAUCAAAGGAUGGGUUGGUUGUAGCAGCAGAUUCCUCCUCAAGAAUUUGCCAUGGCAGAUUUUCUCAAGGAAAAGCUGGGAGUUAAAAUGAAGCAGAGUGUGUACAGCAAAAACCUUGCCUUAGAUCAUGCCCAAAGGACUAUAGUGUGGGAUGGCAGGUGGGCCUCGUCACCC